CAACAUGAUCAGCCCGAGGGGGGUUGUCACGGGGGACUGGAUCAACUGCAGGGAAGAAGAAGUUCUGAGCAGACUGCCCAGCCGAUGGAAGGACGAGGAGGACCACGAAACAUUAAACCCUUUCCAAAAAUGGUAAAAGCAAGCUGCCACGAAAAUUCUGUGCAGUUCUAUGCUACAAUCUAUACAAGAGUACGUACACAAUUGAAGGAACACUUGACCAUCUUCUUUGAUCACAAUGAACUUUAAAAAUCACUCAUUCUCUGAUACAAAUAAGUUGUUUAUUUAUUCAGUCCACAAAAAUCAGAGAAGAGGAGGGCACCAGGAACUGCAGCCGGACAGGAUAGAACCCACCUUCUCCGCUUCAAGCAAUACAGGGCACCUGCCUUUCCCUUGCAAACAGCUCUCCCCUCUGAAGACUAAGGCAAAGCCCAUCCCAAAGAGCAGGAAAUUCAGGGAACUGAGGAUAAAUUCAACUGUCGUUGGGAGCAGCGUGAUGUAAGACAAGUGGCAAUAAAGGGCAUGCUGAAAAUGCUCUUAUUAAAUCAAUUAUCUCGGACACUGAAACUUCAGAUACAGCCUCCACAAGUUUUCUCUUCUUUUUGUCCAAGUUUGGGCUACUUCUAACAACGUAAAAGAAAACGCAGCAGGAGGAACAGGAAAUCCCUGAAGCAACUUUUCUUUACUGACCCUUCAUAAGCAUCUCUUCCCAUCCGGAGACCUGUGGGUUAUCAAUCUGUACUUUAAAGAUUCCCAUUACUUCCCCCUCUUUCACCCGUCUUUCUCCUCUAACUCUUUCUGUGUCUAUUUUCCCCCACAGCCCUCAUUCUUACUCUCUUGGCUGGGAAUGCUUCGUAUUACCGACUCUUCCAAUUUGGCAGUAAAUUUUUCCUGUAGGUGUGAGAUGCUCUGUGCUCCCAUUGGAAAAAAAAAUCCUACGCUAUGGAAAAUGUAUCCAAAGCCCUCCCUUCUCUCAUCAUUUGGAAAAAGGGGAGACAGGCAAAAAGCCAACUGAAAACGAAAGUUAUUCUUUCCUGAAAGAACAGCCUGAUCAGGGGUGCCCGGGUGGCUCAGUCGGUUAAGCGUCUGACUUCGGCUCAGGUCAUGAUCUCGCGGUCCGUGGGUUCGAGCCCCAUGUCGGGCUCUGUGCUGACAGCUCAGAGCCUGGAGCCUGUUUCGGAUUCUGUGUCUCCCUCUUUCUCUGACCCUCCCCUGUUCAUGCUCUCUCUCUCUGUCUCAAAAAUAAACAUUAAAAAAAAAAAAAA
Acinonyx jubatus (cheetah) is the source of this 1262-nucleotide long non-coding RNA. RefSeq lists it as uncharacterized. The transcript has 2 exons. NCBI's taxonomy places the organism in Eukaryota, Metazoa, Chordata, Mammalia, Carnivora, Felidae. The record is from RefSeq and is a predicted model, not a curated record.